RNAcentral lists this ribosomal RNA (316 nucleotides) under Nephrocerus lapponicus. Its description in RNAcentral is "partial 12S ribosomal RNA". Lineage: Eukaryota; Metazoa; Arthropoda; Insecta; Diptera; Pipunculidae. The record is from RNAcentral.
UUAAAUUGUAAUUUAUUUAUUUGAGUAGUAAUAGUUAUGAUCUUAAAACUUAAAAAAUUUGGCGGUAUUUUAGUCUAUUCAGAGGAACCUGUUUUGUAAUCGAUAGUCCACGAUGAACCUUUCUUAAAUUUGUUUUUCAGUUUAUAUAUCGUCGUUAAUAGAAUAUUUUAUAAGAAAAAUAAUUUUCUAUAAUUUUUAUAAAAAUUUAUAUCAGAUCAAGGUGUAGCUUAUAUUUAAGUUAAAAUGGGUUACAAUAAAAUUAUUUAAAUGGAUGUAAGUAUGAAAAAUUUAUUUAAAGUGAAUUUGAAAGUAAAAU